RNAcentral lists this ribosomal RNA (254 nucleotides) under uncultured bacterium. Its description in RNAcentral is "partial 16S ribosomal RNA". It matches the Rfam family "Bacterial small subunit ribosomal RNA", at positions 524 to 777 of the family's 1533-position model. The record is from RNAcentral.
UACGAAGGGGGCUAGCGUUGCUCGGAAUCACUGGGCGUAAAGCGCACGUAGGCGGACUCUUAAGUCAGGGGUGAAAUCCUGGAGCUCAACUCCAGAACUGCCUUUGAUACUGAGAGCCUUGAGUCCGGAAGAGGUAAGUGGAACUGCGAGUGUAGAGGUGAAAUUCGUAGAUAUUCGCAAGAACACCAGUGGCGAAGGCGGCUUACUGGUCCGGUACUGACGCUGAGGUGCGAAAGCGUGGGGAGCAAACAGGG